UUUUUACAAUGAAUGGUCACUCAACUUGCUCAAAACCCCUUCCAUCCAUCACUACGCGUUCACCCGUUUGAUGUGCUUCCCAGGUGGCCAGACGGAGUUCGGAGUGACAAGAAACGGAGUCAUAACAUUGCCACGUGAAGAGUUGUGUCUCUGAAAACAACGAUUUCACCCUAAAAAUGAAAAACCCACUUCAAAUCAACGAGCCCUAAUCUUCCAAACCUCAAACGAACCCUAUAAAUCCCUCCUAAAACUCAAGAUUCAAUCCCUCCCAAACCUCAAACGAACCUUAGAAAUCAAUUUAGGAAAACUACCUCGCUUCAUCUCUGCUACAUCAGCGAAUGGAGAAGCGUAUUAUGUGGUCGUAUGAAGCAUAUUCUUAGCGGCUAGUUGUCUGAUUCUUCUCUCUUUCCUGGGGGUGGUAGGAAUGAGAAAGCUUCUUCAUCCCUCUGAUCAGUGAAGCCUGACCACGUCUGAAGGGGUGUUGAUUCACACACAUGGAUGGAGCGGAAGGAGGAAUGGUUCGAAGCUGAAUUAAAGCCAGUUGAAUCAAAUUGCAACGUAGUGGUCAGCGAGCAAGUGAGUAAAUAUCAAGUUCUUUUUUACCUCAUUCGGUACAUUUGCUCUUUGUAAUAAGACAUUUGCUGCGUUCGUUGUGUAUUCUACGACAAAUUAGUCUCGUCAAGGGGUAAGAGAUCGACGUCGAUUGAAAAUGCAUUUGAAGAACUACCAAUAAGGUUCAUGUCAACCCCCUUAGUUCAUAAGGACACACACACACAACCAAGGGAAGACCAGGCCCAACAGCGAAUAGACCAACAUAUUAUGAAUAAAGGAAAUUUCUACCUUUUGUCAUGGUUGUGUAUGGUGGAUUUUGAUGGUUUUUGGCCUUGAUUUUUGUCCAGAUAGUUUUGAUAAUGUUUUGCUUGAUUUUUUUAGCUAGAAUUUCAUGUGAAUGUUUGGAUGGUUGUAUAUGGUAGCUUUUGAUGGCUUUGUCUGGAUGAUGGAAGUACUUUAAGUUGGAAAUAUAUUCAUGCUUCCAAUUUCAUGUUUAUUGGUUUCGUUUAACUGAAGACUAUGCUAUACUUGAUAUUUGAUUUCAUGAUGUUGUGAUUUCUAAAGAACAAUCUC
This is a long non-coding RNA of Olea europaea var. sylvestris, 1125 nucleotides long. RefSeq lists it as uncharacterized. The transcript has 2 exons. The record is from RefSeq and is a predicted model, not a curated record. Lineage: Eukaryota; Viridiplantae; Streptophyta; Magnoliopsida; Lamiales; Oleaceae.